This 292-nucleotide ribosomal RNA is filed under the name uncultured prokaryote. RNAcentral describes it as "partial 16S ribosomal RNA". It matches the Rfam family "Bacterial small subunit ribosomal RNA", at positions 505 to 796 of the family's 1533-position model. The record is from RNAcentral.
GUGCCAGCCGCCGCGGUAAUACGGAGGGUGCAAGCGUUGUCCGGAUUUAUUGGGUUUAAAGGGUGCGUAGGCGGCCGAUUAAGUCAGUGGUGAAAGCCUAUAGCUUAACUAUAGAAUUGCCAUUGAUACUGGUUGGCUUGAGUUCGAUUGAGGUAGGCGGAAUUUGUGGUGUAGCGGUGAAAUGCAUAGAUACCACAAGGAACACCGAUAGCGUAGGCAGCUUACUAAGUCGACACUGACGCUGAGGCACGAAAGCGUGGGGAGCGAACAGGAUUAGAAACCCCUGUAGUCC